This 467-nucleotide ribosomal RNA is filed under the name uncultured bacterium. RNAcentral's name for it is "bacterial SSU rRNA". It matches the Rfam family "Bacterial small subunit ribosomal RNA", at positions 30 to 533 of the family's 1533-position model. The record is from RNAcentral.
AUUGAACGCUGGCGGUAUGCUUAAGACAUGCAAGUCGAACGGUAACAGGUUAAGCUGACGAGUGGCGGACGAGUGAGUAACGCGUGGGAAUCUACCUUGUAGUGGGGGAUAAGCCAGGGAAACUUGGACUAAUACCGCAUACGCCCUAAGGGGGAAAGGCGCAAGUCGCUAUAAGAUGAGCCCGCGUCUGAUUAGGUAGUUGGUGGGGUAAAGGCCUACCAAGCCGACGAUCAGUAGCUGGUCUGAGAGGAUGAUCAGCCACGUCGGGACUGAGACACGGCCCGGACUCCUACGGGAGGCAGCAGUCGGGAAUAUUGGACAAUGGGGGAAACCCUGAUCCAGCAAUACCGCGUGUGUGAAGAAGGCCUGCGGGUUGUAAAGCACUUUCAGUUGGGAAGAUAAUGACGUUACCAACAGAAGAAGCACCGGCUAACUCCGUGCCAGCAGCCGCGGUAAGGCGUAUGUGU